RNAcentral lists this ribosomal RNA (500 nucleotides) under uncultured bacterium. RNAcentral describes it as "partial 16S ribosomal RNA". It matches the Rfam family "Bacterial small subunit ribosomal RNA", at positions 30 to 523 of the family's 1533-position model. The record is from RNAcentral.
AUUGAACGCUGGCGGCAUGCCUUACACAUGCAAGUCGAACGGCAGCACGGGAGCAAUCCUGGUGGCGAGUGGCGAACGGGUGAGUAAAGUAUCGGAACGUGCCCAGUCGUGGGGGAUAACGUAGCGAAAGUUACGCUAAUACCGCAUACGAUCUAUGGAUGAAAGCGGGGGAUCGCAAGACCUCGCGCGAUUGGAGCGGCCGAUAUCAGAUUAGGUAGUUGGUGGGGUAAAGGCUCACCAAGCCGACGAUCUGUAGCUGGUCUGAGAGGACGCCCAGCCAGACUGGGACUGAGACACGGCCCAGACUCCUACGGGAGGCAGCAGUGGGGAAUUUUGGACAAUGGGCGAAAGCCUGAUCCAGCCAUGCCGCGUGCAGGAUGAAGGCCUUCGGGUUGUAAACUGCUUUUGUACGGAACGAAAAGGUUUGGCCUAAUAAGCUGAGCUCAUGACGGUACCGUAAGAAUAAGCACCGGCUAACUACGCGCCAGCCGCCGCUGUAA